This is a non-coding RNA of Pangasius djambal, 73 nucleotides long. NCBI's taxonomy places the organism in Eukaryota, Metazoa, Chordata, Actinopteri, Siluriformes, Pangasiidae. The record is from the annotation of a GenBank genome assembly.
UCUCUGGAGGACUAGUGGUUUGGCCUCAGAACUCUCACCACUGUGGUCCGGGUUCGAUUCCCGGGCCAGGGAA